CCGCCACACUGGGACUGAGACACGGCCCAGACUCCUACGGGAGGCAGCAGUGGGGAAUAUUGGACAAUGGGCGAAAGCCUGAUCCAGCCAUGCCGCGUGUGUGAAGAAGGCCUUUUGGUUGUAAAGCACUUUAAGCGAGGAGGAGGCUACUUAGAUUAAUACUCUAGGAUAGUGGACGUUACUCGCAGAAUAAGCACCGGCUAACUCUGUGCCAGCAGCCGCGGUAAUACAGAAGGGUUGCGAGCGUUAAUCGGAUUUACUGGGCGUAAAGCGUGGCGUAAGCCGGCUUUUUAAGUCCGGAUGGGAAAUCCCUGAGCUUAACUUAAGGAAUUGCAUUCGAUACUGGGAAGCUAGAGUAUGGGAAAAGG
This 368-nucleotide ribosomal RNA is filed under the name uncultured bacterium. Its description in RNAcentral is "bacterial SSU rRNA". It matches the Rfam family "Bacterial small subunit ribosomal RNA", at positions 305 to 658 of the family's 1533-position model. The record is from RNAcentral.